GCGACGAUCGGUAGCCGGCCUGAGAGGGCGGACGGCCACACUGGGACUGAGACACGGCCCAGACUCCUACGGGAGGCAGCAGUGGGGAAUUGUUCGCAAUGGGCGCAAGCCUGACGACGCAACGCCGCGUGGAGGACGAAGGUCUUCGGAUCGUAAACUCCUGUCGCGCGGGACGAAUGCCCGGGUGGUUAACAGCCGUCCGGGGUGACGGUACCGCGAGAGGAAGCCCCGGCUAACUCCGUGCCAGCAGCCGCGGUAAUACGGGGGGGGCUAGCGUUGUUCGGAAUUACUGGGCGUAAAGGGCUCGUAGGCGGCCUGUCAAGUCGGACGUGAAAUCCCCCGGCUCAACCUGGGAACUGCGUCCGAUACUGGCUGGCUUGAAUCCGGGAGAGGGAUGCGGAAUUCCAGGUGUAGCGGUGAAAUGCGUAGAUAUCUGGAGGAACACCGGUGGCGAAGGCGGCAUCCUGGACCGGGAUUGACGCUGAGGAGCGAAAGCCAGGGGAGCAAACGGGAUUAGAUACCCCGGUAGUCCUGGCCCUAAACGAUGAAUGCUUGGUGUGGCGGGUAUCGAUCCCUGCCGUGCCGGAGCUAACGC
RNAcentral lists this ribosomal RNA (595 nucleotides) under uncultured bacterium. Its description in RNAcentral is "bacterial SSU rRNA". It matches the Rfam family "Bacterial small subunit ribosomal RNA", at positions 273 to 858 of the family's 1533-position model. The record is from RNAcentral.